GAUGAAGAACGUAGCGAAAUGCGAUAAGUAAUGUGAAUUGCAGAAUCCAGUGAAUCAUCGAAUCUUUGAACGCACAUUGCGCCCGCCAGCAUUCUGGCGGGCAUGCCUGUUCGAGCGUCAUUUCAACCCUCGACCUCCCUUUGGGGAAGUCGGCGUUGGGGACCGGCAGCACACCGCCGGCCCUGAAAUGGAGUGGCGGCCCGUCCGCGGCGACCUCUGCGUAGUAAUCCAACUCGCACCGGAACCCCGACGCGGCCACGCCGUAAAACACCCAACUUCUGAACGUUGACCUCGAAUCAGGUAGGACUACCCGCUGAACUUAAGCAUAUCAAUAAGCGGGGA
This 342-nucleotide unclassified non-coding RNA is filed under the name soil metagenome. Its description in RNAcentral is "partial contains 5.8S ribosomal RNA, internal transcribed spacer 2, and large subunit ribosomal RNA". The stretch from base 1 to 120 matches the Rfam family "5.8S ribosomal RNA", at positions 35 to 154 of the family's 154-position model. The record is from RNAcentral.